GUUUGUCAGGCUGGGGAGAAAACUUGAUGAGGAAGCCAAAUUGUGAUUUGUUCAGGUUUCCACCUGAUUGAUAGUCUUCAAAGCCACCAGGUUUGCUGUCAGCUAAAGGAUGCACCUGAAGAUUGUGCUUCAGGGGAAAAUGCAAGAAACCAAGAUUCUGGGGCACAUCAGCUAUCUCAACUAAUGUCCAUUUGAAGGGGGAAAACACCACUGUUUGUUGGCACUGAAGAAAGGGUAUUCCUGUGAU
RNAcentral lists this long non-coding RNA (247 nucleotides) under Homo sapiens (human). RNAcentral describes it as "HSALNT0142944". Lineage: Eukaryota; Metazoa; Chordata; Mammalia; Primates; Hominidae. The record is from RNAcentral.